GUGCCAGCAGCCGCGGUAAUACGGGGGGUGCGAGCGUUGUCCGGAAUCACUGGGCGUAAAGGGCGCGUAGGUGGUUUGAUAAGGCUGUGGUGAAAGCCCGGGGCUCAACCCCGGGUCUGCCGUGGCGACUGUCAGACUGGAGGGCUCGAGAGGCAGACGGAAUUCCGGGUGUAGCGGUGGAAUGCGUAGAGAUCCGGAAGAAGACCGGUGGCGAAGGCGGUCUGCUGGCGAGUACCUGACACUGAGGCGCGACAGCGUGGGGAGCAAACAGGAUUAGAUACCCUCGUAGUCC
This 292-nucleotide ribosomal RNA is filed under the name uncultured bacterium. RNAcentral describes it as "partial 16S ribosomal RNA". It matches the Rfam family "Bacterial small subunit ribosomal RNA", at positions 505 to 796 of the family's 1533-position model. The record is from RNAcentral.